GAUGAACGCCGGCGGCGUGCCUAAUACAUGCAAGUCGAGCGAACGGACGAGAAGCUUGCUUCUCUGAUGUUAGCGGCGGACGGGUGAGUAACACGUGGAUAACCUACCUAUAAGACUGGGAUAACUUCGGGAAACCGGAGCUAAUACCGGAUAAUAUUUUGAACCGCAUGGUUCAAAAGUGAAAGACGGUCCUGCUGUCACUUAUAGAUGGAUCCGCGCUGCAUUAGCUAGUUGGUAAGGUAACGGCUUACCAAGGCAACGAUGCAUAGCCGACCUGAGAGGGUGAUCGGCCACACUGGAACUGGGACACGGUCCAGACUCCUACGGGAGGCGGCAGUAGGGAAUCUUCCGCAAUGGGCGAAAGCCUGACGGAGCAACGCCGCGUGAGUGAUGAAGGUCUUCGGAUCGUAAAACUCUGUUAUUAGGGAAGAACAUAUGUGUAAGUAACUGUGCACAUCUUGACGGUACCUAAUCAGAAAGCCACGGCUAACUACGUG
Molecule: ribosomal RNA, 497 nt
Filed under: uncultured bacterium
Lineage: Bacteria
Description: partial 16S ribosomal RNA
Rfam family: Bacterial small subunit ribosomal RNA
Source: RNAcentral